RNAcentral lists this ribosomal RNA (460 nucleotides) under uncultured bacterium. Its description in RNAcentral is "partial 16S ribosomal RNA". It matches the Rfam family "Bacterial small subunit ribosomal RNA", at positions 338 to 795 of the family's 1533-position model. The record is from RNAcentral.
CCUACGGGAGGCAGCAGUGAGGAAUAUUGGUCAAUGGACGAGAGUCUGAACCAGCCAAGUAGCGUGAAGGAUGACUGCCCUAUGGGUUGUAAACUUCUUUUAUAUGGGAAUAAAAUGUUCCACGUGUGGGAUUUUGUAUGUACCAUAUGAAUAAGGAUCGGCUAACUCCGUGCCAGCAGCCGCGGUAAUACGGAGGAUCCGAGCGUUAUCCGGAUUUAUUGGGGUUAAAGGGAGCGUAGGUGGAUUGUUAAGUCAGUUGUGAAAGUUUGCGGCUCAACCGUAAAAUUGCAGUUGAAACUGGCAGUCUUGAGUACAGUAGAGGUGGGCGGAAUGCGUGGUGUAGCGGUGAAAUGCUUAGAUAUCACGAAGAACUCCGAUUGCGAAGGCAGUUCACUGGACUGCAACUGACACUGAGGCUCGAAAGUGUGGGUAUCAAACAGGAUUAGAUACCCGAGUAGUC